AUUAAAUUUUGUGAUUUGAAAUGCCGAUUACCACAUUUGUUCUCUUAUAAUUUUUUUUUCAAUUUUUACAGAACAAGUUGUAGCCUUUUUUUCCUGAUAUGGAAGAGCGAUGACGUUAAUUUAGGUGCAUAAUGUGAUAAACCAUAAUUCAGGUUUAUUUUUGUAAGAGAGAAGAGAAAGCAUGUAAUGGCAGCUAAAAUGCAACUAUUUGCUACUAAGUUCGAUGAGAGAACAAGUUGUGGUCUUAUUUUUCAUGAUAGGGAAGAGCUAUGACUUUGAUUGAUAAUGUCAUAAACCAUAAUUCAGGUUGCGGCCUUUAUUUUUAGGAGGGAAGAGAAAGCCACUAAUAGCAACUAAAAUGUUAUUAUUUGCUACUAAGUUCGAGG
Molecule: non-coding RNA, 386 nt
Organism: Parasteatoda tepidariorum (common house spider)
Lineage: Eukaryota; Metazoa; Arthropoda; Arachnida; Araneae; Theridiidae
Source: RefSeq, a predicted model, not a curated record